RNAcentral lists this transfer RNA (72 nucleotides) under Camelus dromedarius (Arabian camel). It matches the Rfam family "tRNA". Rfam says of the family: Transfer RNA (tRNA) molecules are approximately 80 nucleotides in length. Their secondary structure includes four short double-helical elements and three loops (D, anti-codon, and T loops). The record is from Rfam by way of RNAcentral. Lineage: Eukaryota; Metazoa; Chordata; Mammalia; Artiodactyla; Camelidae. RNAcentral also lists the same sequence under 1 other name.
AAGGGUAUAAUUCAGUGGUAGAGUGCCUGCCUAGCAUGCAUGAGGUCCUGGGUUCAAUCCCCAGUACCUCCA